GGGGGUAGAGCUCAGUGAUAGAGCACGUGCUUGGUGUGCAUGAGGUCCUGUGUUCGAUCCCCAGUGCCUCUG
RNAcentral lists this transfer RNA (72 nucleotides) under Camelus bactrianus (Bactrian camel). It matches the Rfam family "tRNA". From Rfam's summary of the family: Transfer RNA (tRNA) molecules are approximately 80 nucleotides in length. Their secondary structure includes four short double-helical elements and three loops (D, anti-codon, and T loops). Further hydrogen bonds mediate the characteristic L-shaped molecular structure. tRNAs have two regions of fundamental functional importance: the anti-codon, which is responsible for specific mRNA codon recognition, and the 3' end, to which the tRNAs corresponding amino acid is attached (by aminoacyl-tRNA synthetases). tRNAs cope with the degeneracy of the genetic code in two manners: having more than one tRNA (with a specific anti-codon) for a particular amino acid; and 'wobble' base-pairing, i.e. permitting non-standard base-pairing at the 3rd anti-codon position. Lineage: Eukaryota; Metazoa; Chordata; Mammalia; Artiodactyla; Camelidae. The record is from Rfam by way of RNAcentral. RNAcentral also lists the same sequence under 2 other names.